RNAcentral lists this ribosomal RNA (1474 nucleotides) under Lactiplantibacillus plantarum. RNAcentral's name for it is "bacterial SSU rRNA". It matches the Rfam family "Bacterial small subunit ribosomal RNA". Lineage: Bacteria; Bacillati; Bacillota; Bacilli; Lactobacillales; Lactobacillaceae. The record is from RNAcentral.
UCGAACGAACUCUGGUAUUGAUUGGUGCUUGCAUCAUGAUUUACAUUUGAGUGAGUGGCGAACUGGUGAGUAACACGUGGGAAACCUGCCCAGAAGCGGGGGAUAACACCUGGAAACAGAUGCUAAUACCGCAUAACAACUUGGACCGCAUGGUCCGAGCUUGAAAGAUGGCUUCGGCUAUCACUUUUGGAUGGUCCCGCGGCGUAUUAGCUAGAUGGUGGGGUAACGGCUCACCAUGGCAAUGAUACGUAGCCGACCUGAGAGGGUAAUCGGCCACAUUGGGACUGAGACACGGCCCAAACUCCUACGGGAGGCAGCAGUAGGGAAUCUUCCACAAUGGACGAAAGUCUGAUGGAGCAACGCCGCGUGAGUGAAGAAGGGUUUCGGCUCGUAAAACUCUGUUGUUAAAGAAGAACAUAUCUGAGAGUAACUGUUCAGGUAUUGACGGUAUUUAACCAGAAAGCCACGGCUAACUACGUGCCAGCAGCCGCGGUAAUACGUAGGUGGCAAGCGUUGUCCGGAUUUAUUGGGCGUAAAGCGAGCGCAGGCGGUUUUUUAAGUCUGAUGUGAAAGCCUUCGGCUCAACCGAAGAAGUGCAUCGGAAACUGGGAAACUUGAGUGCAGAAGAGGACAGUGGAACUCCAUGUGUAGCGGUGAAAUGCGUAGAUAUAUGGAAGAACACCAGUGGCGAAGGCGGCUGUCUGGUCUGUAACUGACGCUGAGGCUCGAAAGUAUGGGUAGCAAACAGGAUUAGAUACCCUGGUAGUCCAUACCGUAAACGAUGAAUGCUAAGUGUUGGAGGGUUUCCGCCCUUCAGUGCUGCAGCUAACGCAUUAAGCAUUCCGCCUGGGGAGUACGGCCGCAAGGCUGAAACUCAAAGGAAUUGACGGGGGCCCGCACAAGCGGUGGAGCAUGUGGUUUAAUUCGAAGCUACGCGAAGAACCUUACCAGGUCUUGACAUACUAUGCAAAUCUAAGAGAUUAGACGUUCCCUUCGGGGACAUGGAUACAGGUGGUGCAUGGUUGUCGUCAGCUCGUGUCGUGAGAUGUUGGGUUAAGUCCCGCAACGAGCGCAACCCUUAUUAUCAGUUGCCAGCAUUAAGUUGGGCACUCUGGUGAGACUGCCGGUGACAAACCGGAGGAAGGUGGGGAUGACGUCAAAUCAUCAUGCCCCUUAUGACCUGGGCUACACACGUGCUACAAUGGAUGGUACAACGAGUUGCGAACUCGCGAGAGUAAGCUAAUCUCUUAAAGCCAUUCUCAGUUCGGAUUGUAGGCUGCAACUCGCCUACAUGAAGUCGGAAUCGCUAGUAAUCGCGGAUCAGCAUGCCGCGGUGAAUACGUUCCCGGGCCUUGUACACACCGCCCGUCACACCAUGAGAGUUUGUAACACCCAAAGUCGGUGGGGUAACCUUUUAGGAACCAGCCGCCUAAGGUGGGACAGAUGAUUAGGGUGAAGUCGUAACAAGUGCCAU